AAAUCGUGAAACCCUAGUGUCACUUAAAGUCUGUUGGUUGUGAUCUCUACUCUCGUAGUGAUUUCGAUGGCGCUUUUGGUGGGGGUUCCGGCGGAGAUUUUGGUGGGGAUUCGAGGGGAGUUUUGGGUAGAAAUUUGGGUGGCCUUUCCAGCGGAGAUCCGUGUUAUGACCAAAUUGAAUAAAAUCGGCGGCGAAAAACCGGUGAGAGUAAUGAAAAAAAUCAAAAGUAAAGGAAUCAAGUACAGAGAAGAGGUACCCUCCAAGGUUGUAUUAUGAAGGUAAAUCACCCUUACAGAGAAGGAGCAUGCAUCAUAAUUGCAAAUUAACCAUUUUUGGACUUCUGAAGGAGUGUAUUGGGGAUGAGGUGUACACGAAUAUCAGAGAGAAUUCACGAGUAGGAGUUGUCAUAAAACUUGCAGAUAGUGACUAUGUAUGGUGGGCAAAGAUGGUGUGUUACAUAUUAACUCAGCAGUUGGCGAUAAAGAGAAGCUAUAAGAUGUGGUCAUUGAUUGAAGGGAGUCCUAUAAGGUUUUCUCUUUAUGAAUAUGAAGACAUAUCCAACCUGAACUGUGAAACGAUAGAUAUGGAGGAUAAAGUAGAUGUUGAUCACAAUCAAUCGUGGGAAGAGUUAAAGGAGGAUGUAGGGGUUGGUCCAAACUGGUUUGAGUUGAAUGUAGCGAUAAAAAAUUGUAGGACUCUUAUUCCUAAAUAGAUAAAGAUGAUUGGACUGUUGAUUGUGCUUCAUGUUGGUAUAUUGGGAAUAUCUUGGUCUAGCAGGAAUCCAUUAGAGUAUGCAAAACGAGUUCUUGAUAUUGGGGCUUAUGAGAGAUUUCCUUGGCGUCGUGUUAGAGUUAAGGAAUUGAUUCAGUGAAUUAAAUUUGUGUAUGUUGAUAACAACACAUACGCUAUUCAUAAAUGUGUGCAUGUCAUGGUAUGGGCUUUGGAUGGUUUGGUUAACUUUGGGAAGAAAAAGAUAAUUAAUGAUUUUGAUGUUGAAGAAGUGGUGCCGCUUCUUAGCUGGGGUGGAGGGCGCCCAAGGAUUACAAUUGAAGUGACCAUAAUUGUAUAAAAGAAGUUAAAGAAAAAGGUGGACGUUAAGCAUUUAGUUUACAAAUGUGACGAGGAUAUAUGUCUAGUUUGGCCAGGGGAAAAUGUUGUAUUUGGAGAAAGAUUUGGUGGAAAUAAGCUGCUGGAUAAUCUUCUACAUGAUCUUUUCCUCGGAUGUGUAAAUGAUAAAGAAUGGUAUGAUGAUGCAGAGCAGAUUUUUGUUGAUAAGAAAUUGGAGAAGAGGAAGGCGGAAGCAAAUAGUAGAGAUUAUUUUGUGGACUCACUUCGAAAGAAAUUUUCUAAGACAAUCUGCUCGUCUACUCACUGGAGAUCAACAGGUCCCGUGAAUCUGAAAGAAUUAAAUGAUGAAAGAGGUGAUGAUGGUGAAGUGGAGGGCCGGCAGAAAGGGGCAAUAGAAGGAGUUCUAAAGUUGUUGUGUAGUCUACACGGAAAAUUGAUGAAUUGAAAGAAAAAUUUCGGAACUAAAUUGGAAAGUAAUGGUGAGCAGGUGAAAGAGAUAGAAAAAAAGAUUUCAAUCCUUGAGAAUGAUGUGGUUGAGUUGAAGAAAGGGAAUAAAAUGUUACCUGCAAAGGCAGAUACGAAAGGGAAGGCAGUUCAACAAGAAGUUCUUGUUGCUCAUGAUGAAGAAUCUAAAACAGAAAUAUAUUUUAUAAAAGGCAUUUCCAUUUUUGAAAUAGUUUACAAAGAGAAGUGGUUUAUCUCCGCGGAAAAUUGCUUAGUUGGUGGGCAUUGACAAUUUUGAAGCUUUUGUUUCUUUCUUAGCCCUGUGUUAUUUUUUUUCAUUCUUUUUUUACUUUUCCUA
Non-coding RNA from Camelina sativa (false flax), 1870 nucleotides. The record is from RefSeq and is a predicted model, not a curated record. NCBI's taxonomy places the organism in Eukaryota, Viridiplantae, Streptophyta, Magnoliopsida, Brassicales, Brassicaceae.